This 253-nucleotide ribosomal RNA is filed under the name uncultured bacterium. Its description in RNAcentral is "partial 16S ribosomal RNA". The stretch from base 44 to 253 matches the Rfam family "Bacterial small subunit ribosomal RNA", at positions 567 to 776 of the family's 1533-position model. The record is from RNAcentral.
UCCUUCUUUUUCCCUCUUUCCUCUUCCUUCCUUUUCUUCCCUCUUUCUCCUUCUUCUUUUCAAUACAUAUUUUAAAUCCCCGGGCUUAACCUGGGAACUGCAUUUGUGACUGCAUGGCUGGAGUGCGGCAGAGGGGGAUGGAAUUCCGCGUGUAGCAGUGAAAUGCGUAGAUAUGCGGAGGAACACCGAUGGCGAAGGCAAUCCCCUGGGCCUGCACUGACGCUCAUGCACGAAAGCGUGGGGAGCAAACAGG